Molecule: ribosomal RNA, 806 nt
Filed under: Xiphinema parasimile
Lineage: Eukaryota; Metazoa; Nematoda; Enoplea; Dorylaimida; Longidoridae
Description: eukaryotic LSU rRNA
Rfam family: Eukaryotic large subunit ribosomal RNA
Source: RNAcentral
GGAAAGUUGAAAAGAACUUUGAAGAGAGAGUUCAAAAGGGCGUGAAACCGCUUAGAAUAAAACGGACGGAACCGUCUGAGGCCCUUUGAGAAUCAGUCGAACGACGCGCGAACGCGUUUCGGGUUCCAGAGCGUAAAAGUCUGGCUYGAACGUCUAGUAGUCGCGUUCGUUAGGCGCAUUUCUCGAGGGUUAGCGUCGCGACCGAUGCAAAAGGCUGGCGAGGUCGUCGGGUCGAGGUCGAAACCCCUCGUGGGUAUUCGCAACCGGCCUGGUGGAGAAUUUUAAUCGCUGGACCUAGAUGAGCAUCGAGCGCUUAAACGAACUUAACGUCGGCGUAAACGCACGUCGAACGGCGGAGAGUCGGCCAAUUAGUCGACGCCUGCUUGCAGGCGCUCGAUUAAUGUAUGGUUGUCUUCAAAGUCGUCGACGACCGGCGAUUAGGCGUCCGCGACGUCCGAGUCGGUCACCCGUCCGACCCGUCUUGAAACACGGACCAAGGAGUCUAACGUACGCGCGAGCUAAUGGGUGGAAAACCUAUAAGCGCAAUAAAAGUAAAAGCCGUCUUUAGACGGUUGAGGUACGAUCCUGGUGUACGAAAAUUAUGCCAGGCGCAGUACCGUCCCGUCCCGACCGCAUGUCGGUAGGGCGGAGAUAGAGUGCAUACGUUGGGACCCGAAAGAUGGUGAACUAUGCCUGAGCAGAGCGAAGCCAGAGGAAACUCUGGUGGAGGUUCGUAGCGGUUCUGACGUGCAAAUCGAUCGUCAGACUUGGGUAUAGGGGCGAAAGACUAAUCGAACCAUCUAGUA